CUGAUGGGAUUUCUUCGAAUACUCGGAUCAGUGAAGAAGAGGGUGUAUCUGCUCAAGAAACAAGGGAAGAAGAGUUGAAGCUUUGGGAUUCAAUUGUAGAUGAGGCUUCUAAGAUGCAAGCUGCAACAAGAGAUGAGUCCUUAGAUCAUGAAACUACGCAGCAAGAGAUGAGUCCUUAGAUCAUGAAACUAUGCAGAAAUUUGUGUCACCAAUAUAUGCAAAUAUUGAAGUAGAUGAUUACGCUGAUUAUUUCAGAACAGAGUUGCUGUAUCAAAUGGGACUCAACCAAGAACCACAGAACACUCUUUUGCUAGCUAAUUAUGCUCAAUUUCUUUUCUUGGUCGCCCAAGAUUAUGACAGGUACCAAAAUUUUCUCUUUUUCUCAUUUAUGUGUUAGAUUUUAAAACCUUUUUUUCUACUAAGGAAAACUAGAUCUAACUGGCGGAUUAAGUCAUGACUUUCAGCUCAUUAGUUGAUCUUUAGGUCAAGAUAGUUGUUUGUUUUGAAUUGUUUUGGUGGGCUUGAAAAAUCACAUUCACAAAGCAAUGGUCAUUUUUCUGUAAUAUAUGGGUGGGAUUGUUGAAUCUUGAUAGGGGAGUCUGUGGUAGUACUUUAUUUCUUUUCUCCAAUUAUAUCAAUCUGUGCGGGCCCAUGGUGCAACCUCCUGUAAAAUGUCACUGUGUAUAGGCCUCAUUUCGGUCUUAGUUGCGGUUACAGAACCUUUUUCCGAUAGACCCUAAAGUAGAGACUUAAAAAUAACUACACGCAAAUGAUCAUAAUAAGUAGAUCUAUAACCUAAAGAAAUAAUGCAUAUUACGUGCGACAACAAGUUAAUAAAAAUAUAAGUAGUGUGAAAAUUCUUUUGUAUAGUGAGUGUAUAUAAUUUGGUUAAGUGUGGAUGUUAAUUAUCUAGUGUUGUUAUGAACAGAGCGGAGGAGUACUUCAAGAAAGCAUCAAAGGUGGAACCAAAGGAUGCAGAGGCAUUGAAUAAGUAUGCAAAUUUUCUGUGGCAAGUAAGGAAGGACCUUUGGGCUGCAGAAGAAACCUUUCUUGAAGCCAUUGCUGCAGAACCAAGCAACUCAUUCUAUGCAGGUAAUUAUGCUAAUUUUCUAUGGAAUACUGGUGGUGAAGACACUUGUUUCCCACUCGAUACUGAUGUUUAGUUCCAAAAAGUAAAGAAAUUAAAAAAAAAAGAUUAUUAAAGUGGAAGAUGAAGUCAUGAAGAGAAGAAAAUCUUAUUGGUCAAGGAUACAAAUUGAAAUAACAAAGGGAUAAUUUGAAUGGGGUCCAAGAUAAUUAUGGUUUGCAGAAUUUGGAUUUUCCCUUUGUAUUUAAAUUGCUGGACAAUGGUGUGUUGGGGAGACAAGGAAGAGCAAGGAGGGUGACUAUGGAGUUGUUAAUUGACAACCGCCCCUUUGGCCUUAUUUUCCUGCUACUAUAAUUGCUAGUAGUCAUAUGAUACACAUCCUCUCAAACAUGUGUAAAUUCAGCAACUCUCGUCUUUAGAUCACAGAAAACUGAGAAGGCUCUCUUGCUUGGGAUUUUUUCUGUUUACUUCUUCAUUCUUCUUGUUAACAGUUUUCCUUUUUUAUUUUUUUGCAUAGUUCACAUAGCGAAAUUGUAAUUAAACUUUUGUUAAUAGAUAAAUGCGGACUCUUUCUUUGUAACUUCUGACAUUUGUAUGUUGCUGAAAUACAUGAUCCAAUGCGUACUUGGAGUUUCAAAAUUGAAUAAAUGAUAUAGAUACAAAAGCAGCCCAUGCUGUAAGCACGAAAUACCGUACUGCUC
This 1788-nucleotide long non-coding RNA is filed under the name Nicotiana benthamiana. Its description in RNAcentral is "long non-coding RNA (NBEN_LNC027544)". Lineage: Eukaryota; Viridiplantae; Streptophyta; Magnoliopsida; Solanales; Solanaceae. The record is from RNAcentral.